Molecule: microRNA precursor, 101 nt
Filed under: Anopheles quadriannulatus
Lineage: Eukaryota; Metazoa; Arthropoda; Insecta; Diptera; Culicidae
Description: microRNA mir-190
Source: RNAcentral
CGACAUCGAACAUGAAAAAUAUGUGGGAUUUGACAUGUUCGAUUUGUUGGUUAACAAAUCAAACAUGUCAAAUCCCAUAUAUUUUUUCAUGUCCGAUGUCG